GACGAACGCUGGCGGCGUGCCUAAUACAUGCAAGUUGAGCGCUGAAGGUUGGUACUUGUACCUACUGGAUUAGCAGCGAACGGGUGAGUAACGCGUGGGUAAUCUGCCUUUGAGCGGGGGACAACAUUUGGAAACGAAUGCUAAUACCGCAUAAAAACUUUAAACACAAGUUUUAAGUUUGAAAGAUGCAAUUGCAUCACUCAAAGAUGAUCCCGCGUUGUAUUAGCUAGUUGGUGAGGGAAAGGCUCACCAAGGCGAUGAUACAUAACCGACCUGAGAGGGGGGUCGGCCCCAUUGGGAAUGAGACAACGCCCAAACCCCCACGGGAGGGAACAGGAGGGAAUCUUCGGCAAUGGACGGAAGUCUGAACGAGGAACGCCGCGGGAGUGAAGAAGGUUUUCGGGUCGUAAAACUCUGUUGGUAGAGAAGAAAGUUGGUGAGAGUGGAAAGCUCAUGAAGUGACGGUAACUAACCAGAAAGAGACGGCUAACUACGUG
Molecule: ribosomal RNA, 497 nt
Filed under: uncultured bacterium
Lineage: Bacteria
Description: partial 16S ribosomal RNA
Rfam family: Bacterial small subunit ribosomal RNA
Source: RNAcentral